Molecule: non-coding RNA, 1848 nt
Organism: Paramuricea clavata
Lineage: Eukaryota; Metazoa; Cnidaria; Anthozoa; Malacalcyonacea; Plexauridae
Source: the annotation of a GenBank genome assembly
UUAGUAGUACUAAAUAGGCGAAGGCGUAUUUAAUUAACUAUAUAUUGGAGAAGUUGGAGGAAAGUAUGGGUAAUCAUGAGAUUCUUUGCAGUUUGUCAUGGCUAAUGUAGCAGCUUAAAAUUAACCAACUGUCAAUAUUUUAAAGGUAUAUUAUUUAAAUGAUAGAGGUCUGCAUGAUUUUGAAAAAAGAAUGAUUAUUAGCAAAUUAUUGGGAGGGCUGCAGCACCCCCACCAGUCCCCCUCCGUUGCUACGGCCCCGAGAAGUAAUAAACCUAAUAACACCGAUUUACGAUUUGUUAAAUGUUAUUCCAUGUAAAUACUAUGAUUUCGUAAAUCAGUUUAUGCUGAGAAUACAAUUAAUAAUUAUAUUAUAUUUUCUCUGUUUAACAACUAAAAUUUUGUUAUACUGAUUAUUGCCGUAAUUUUCCGAAUGGCCAAACUGAUUUUCCGAAUAUGUUAAUUCGAAAAAAGUUGGGGGUUAUAACCCCCCCCCCCAAAAAAAAAACCAACAAAAAAACCCUCGCUACGGCCCUGACUAUGUCAUAAAACUAUCUACAGUGUACUUGUAUAGACUAUUCAACUAAUAUAAAAAAUGUACUCUCAAUUGAUGAUCUUGAGUUUUGCUUUAAAACUAUUAACACUUUCUGAAUUUUUUAUUUGACUUGGUAGACUCCAGGCCACUGUAAAUAUUCCAGCUAAAUGCCUUUUUCAGGUAGUUUGUUUUAGCCUUCGGUGGUAGGAAAUCAUGUUUGGCUUUUCUCGUUUGCUGUUCAUGGACCUCGUUCUUUUUUUGGACCAUAUUAAUUCAGUAUUAGAAGACGAAAUUCCGUCUAAGACGGGAAACUCGUGUGACGGAUUUCCGUCUGAUAUAAGUAUGAAACGAAAACCAUCGGACGCGGAUAAACCCGAAAAAAUAGGAGACCCUCCAUCCCAGUCUCUCUUUUAGUGAACGUUACCAGCAGAAACCCGUCUUGAUUUAUUCGUCUGAUAUAAAUUUAAGACGGAUUUCCGUCUAAGACGAGAAACUGAUCGUCUAACUGUUCCGUCGUUCAGAAUUUAUAUCAAGACGAGUUUCUCGUCUGAGAUGAGUUUUCCGUCUUAGACGGAAAUCCGUCUUCUAAUAUGAAUGACAUGCAUCGAUCAUGUGAUGCUGGGUGUAACUCUUCCUGCUUUCCGUCGUAACUUUUCGAUGCGGCGAACAUAAUCAAAUUAAAUGCGGCAUACGUUUUUACAGAUACAGUGCCAUGCAGAAUUUUCAGUACUAAAUUGCUAUUAUAUCAUAUUAUGUUGAACCUGUAAGGCAUAAUGACAUGACAGUUGCCGUAUUUUGUCCCGUAUUGAACCUGAUCAAAACUUGCCGAUUUAGAUGGCCGCUCUCCUGUCGUACUUAUUAUCGUUGUAUCAGGUUCGGCGCAUGAACAUUUCGCCGUCCUAUUCCGGGCCUAAUAUUAACGAAAAUGUUGUCCAUGAACGAGUCGGAGCGAUUAAUCCACCAUAUCGAUAACUUAGCAGUUAACAGACAGCGGUAAAAUGUUAUUUAUUUUUUAAAUACAAUAAAGAAAUAUAUAUGCCGUAUAUAUAUCGUUUUCGAGUUUUCGGGCGGUAUAGGGAUAAUACAUUACAGUAGUCAGAUAGGAAGAACGUAGCUAUAGUCUAAUAGUAUAGAAUUCAACCGACGCGGUUCAAUAUUGAAACUGCUUACGCCAAACUAAUUUCGUUUCCAAAACUCAAAAGUAUGCAUGGGUUCUUUAUAUGUCUUACCGUCGAAUAUCGGCAAUGUCAUUGGCGAUCAGAAAUGCUUUACAUCCAGUUUUUAUAUGUACUUUUUAUAAAUUAUUCGAUAUAGAU